Long non-coding RNA from Egretta garzetta (little egret), 1385 nucleotides. RefSeq lists it as uncharacterized. The transcript has 2 exons. The record is from RefSeq and is a predicted model, not a curated record. Lineage: Eukaryota; Metazoa; Chordata; Aves; Pelecaniformes; Ardeidae.
UGUUACUGGGAUUUGUUACUGGGAUUUGUUACUGGGAUUUGUUACUGGGAUUUGUUACUGGGAUUUGUUACUGGGAUUUGUUACUGGGAUUUGUUACUGGGAUUUGUUACUGGGAUUUGUUACUGGGAUUUGUUACUGGGAUUUGUUACUGGGAUUUGUUACUGGGAUUUGUUACUGGGAUUUGUUACUGGGAUUUGUUACUGGGAUUUGUUACUGGGAUUUGUUACUGGGAUUUGUUACUGGGAUUUGUUACUGGGAUUUGUUACUGGGAUUUGUUACUGGGAUUUGUUACUGGGAUUUGUUACUGGGAUUUGUUACUGGGAUUUGUUACGGGAGGUGUAUCUCUCGCCUCUCAGACAUACAGCUAACUGGGAUGAGCACCAUGCGCGGGCUGGCAUUGGGAGGCAAAUCUCAAGUACUGAGACCAGCAGAGUGAAGUCAAACAAUCCCUUCAUUCCUCCUCCCCAAAGAGCAGCCUCUUGCUUCAUCACUCGAUUGCAAGUUUUCAUCUGGUAAAAAACACAGACCAUAGCUUAAGAUUUUGAUCCAGCAAGAGUGUGCAAAGAAUCGUCCUUGCCCUUCCCAAACAGGAUAAGCAGGAUUUAAACUUACAAAGUGUUAGCGAACCAUUACUUCUUAUUCAAUAUGAACAUGCCAGUCAGGUUUGAACUGGAUCAAAAGCCAGUACAAGCUUUUUUUUUUUCCUUCCCCACCUCACAUCCAGGUGUAGCUCAAUCACAUUCAGUUCUCAUCUCGGCUGCCGGCAGCACAGCAAUCUGACACUUCCAAACUCUGCAUUUGUUUGUGCUUAAACUAAAGGUGGGAAAGCGGCAGCAGCCACCCUGAACAUGCAGCAUGGACACUCACAAUGAACAAGGCCACAGAACAACCACUCAGUUCCCCCCCCCAAAUCAGAAUAAGCUUCCCUAAAAUAAAAAAAAAAUUAAAUAGCAACGGAUUAAAAACAUAGGUUAGGUGUCAAAAUUGCCAUCAGCUAAUUACAAACAGCCAACUCAACUCCUAACUUGCCUAUCAGCCAGCUUGCUGUUUGUAGGAUGAGAGAUAGGAAACAUUUUCCAAGAACAUACAAAAAAGGUAUGUACAGAUCUAUUCAAAACGCAGUAAAUAAGGUCUGCAGUGGUUCCAGGUUACUCUUGUCUCAGAUUUUCUCAAAAUAAAUGUGGGUGACUGGAGAAAUUUACUUGUCUAUUCUUCCAGCUUCCCACAGUACAACUGCAAUCAGCACCCAACCCACCAGAGGGCUCUGCUGCAGUCUGUUAGACUCCCCUCCUCGGAAGUUUGGCAAAGAUUAAAAUAAUUUAAAGAAUAAACUGGCUUUUUGCUUCAGCCAGUAAGUCUUUAAUUUAAAAAAAAAAAAAAAAAAA